GUGCCAAUGUUAUUUAAAGCAAUCUUGCAACAAUGCAGCAGAAAAGAAAGAAAAUUCUUGUCUCCACUGAAUUCCAGAAAAAUUGUGUCUCUGCUUCAUCAAAACCUGUGCAACAGAAGCAUCCUUAGGAUGUUGCUUUCUGUGCGAGUUGUGCCCCAGGAAGGCAGGGGAGUGGCUUGUUUCUCCCUCAAAUGACUUUUGUGUGCUCUCCUUGCCUAACUAUGAGGAUUUGAGACAGCAUAAAAAAGAUAUUCAAAAGGGAAGCAAACCUACCUCAAGCAUAUUUGCCACAUGCUUUUCCUAACCUCAUCUGCAGUCUACCUCCAUGUACUUAUACAUACUGGGUUUUGUACCAUUUUUGCCGUAGCAUCCACAGAAAUAAUUUGGACUGCUCCAAUCCUGUAGUC
Molecule: long non-coding RNA, 407 nt
Organism: Gallus gallus (chicken)
Lineage: Eukaryota; Metazoa; Chordata; Aves; Galliformes; Phasianidae
Source: Ensembl